Molecule: ribosomal RNA, 395 nt
Filed under: uncultured bacterium
Lineage: Bacteria
Description: partial 16S ribosomal RNA
Rfam family: Bacterial small subunit ribosomal RNA
Source: RNAcentral
CCUACGGGCAGCAGCAGUGGGGAAUAUUGCGCAAUGGGGGCAACCCUGACGCAGCCAUGCCGCGUGAAUGAAGAAGGCCUUCGGGUUGUAAAGUUCUUUCGGUAGCGAGGAAGGCACUUAGUUGAAUAAACUAGGUGAUUGACGUUAACUACAGAAGAAGCACCGGCUAACUCCGUGCCAGCAGCCGCGGUAAUACGGAGGGUGCGAGCGUUAAUCGGAAUAAAUGGGUUUAAAGGGCACGGAGGCGGUGACUUAAGUGAGUUGUGAAAGUCUGCGGCUUAACCUUGGAAUUGCAAUUGAUACUGGCAGUCUAGAGUACAGUUGAGGUAGGUGGAAUUCGUGGUGUAGCGGUGAAAUGCUUAGAGAUGACGAAGAACCCCGAUUGCGAAGGCAGC